Molecule: ribosomal RNA, 1599 nt
Filed under: Triticum aestivum (bread wheat)
Lineage: Eukaryota; Viridiplantae; Streptophyta; Magnoliopsida; Poales; Poaceae
Description: partial small subunit ribosomal RNA
Source: RNAcentral
AUGGCGUCGUCCCCCGCGCGCCCCGCCGCCGCGUCCGUCUCCGGCGCCUUCGGCCUCCCGCCCGACGCCCGCUGCUCCUUCGACCAGACGCGCCGCCGCGCCGAGGAUUCGCAGGACAAGAGGCAGCUGGUGCGGACGUUCGUCAACGUGUACGGCCAGGAGGGCUACCCCAAGGAGGCCGUCAUGGCGGCCGUCGAGGAGUGCAUGAGGAAGCAGGCCGAGGGCCUGCUGCAUUCGCUCGAGGGCAUCGGCGGGAGGCUCUCGCAGCUCGAGCUCUACUGCUACAAGCUCGAGCGCUCCAUCGGGGAGCUGCGCAGCGACGUCAUGGACUAUCACAGCGAGGGCACCGUCAACUUCCGCUGCCUCGACAAGAAUCUCAGACAGGUUCAGAAAGCUGUGCAGAUGCUUCAGGAUAAGCAUGAGCCGCAGCAACUGGCCAAACUUCAAAUAGCGCAUGAAUUCCCUGCUAGAACAAAUGAAGCCACUGCCUUGUCGAUGCUCGCUGCAAGGGAAAAUGUCAAUGAUCAGAGCACACAAUUCGCCAACCCUGAGGUCUCUUUUGUGCCAAUUCACCAAGUUAAUGCGAUGCAGUCUCCUGCUAUGCCGAACCAAAGUAGUGGUGGUUAUAUUCUGCAGCAACUUGUGCCCGUCUCUUUGAGCACACAACAUGAUCAGCAACAUCCGAGCCAAGCUGCGGUGUACUAUAUGCAAAGCCAAAAUCAAGUGAACUGCGCAGAUAACAAACCAUCCGAGUCUUUUGUUCAGGUUAUGCAGCCGCAUGUCCAGAACUCUGAAGCCAGGGUUGCAGUUGAGCUACCUCAGAAAUCUAGUCAGCCAACGGAAAUGUACCCUCCAAUGCAGCAUCAUAUGCUACAAAUGCCUGCUCAGCAUCACGAGUCACAGGCAUGGCGAUCACAGCCCCCUGUCGCGCAACAGCAGCACUACAGUGUUCAGCAAGUCCCACCGCAGAUGGUUCAACAGAAAACAUCUUCUCCUCAUGCUCAAAGUACUCCUCAAGUCACACUCAUGUAUCCUCAAUACUCUUCUCAGAAGCCUGCCAAUGCUACCACUGAGCCACUUCCGAGAAGUUUGGUUGGGCAGUCUCCAUACUCUUCACCCCAGCAGAAGCAUCAUGAAGUCAUGCCUUCGUUUUAUGGCCAAGGCAACACAAUUUUGCUUCCCACGGCAGAGCAUAAUAUCCAACAUCAACAGCCACAGCAACUGCAAACACAGAGCCAGGCCUCAUGCCCACCUCAACCAAGCAAGCCCAGCCACUGCAGCGUUGCAUCAUAUGCUGUUCAGGGUAGUGGCCGAGCCUACACUGCCACAUAUAAGAAUCCUGCCGAGAGUCCUGCAACUGUUGUUGCUGUUCUGCCCCAGCAUUCGGCAACAGCUCCUAUGGCGUUUCAUCAUUUGGGGCCACAAAUCUUGCAUAAGAAUCCAUAUGGAAGUAUGUUCGAAACGGCCAGUGUAGUAGGGUAUCCACAUGAUCUAGUUGGGAGUAUGACGCUCCCAGUGGUGACUGCGGACUCCAGUAACAUGGUUGAUAAGCUCAAUGCUGGUAGCAAUGUUACAUCCCCGCGAGACUGGCCUGCAUAG